Molecule: unclassified non-coding RNA, 159 nt
Filed under: soil metagenome
Description: partial internal transcribed spacer 1
Source: RNAcentral
CAGAGUUGCAAGACUCCCUAAACCACUGUGAACCUACCUUCUACCGUUGCUUCGGCGGGCGGGCCCAGCGCCCCCCCGGCCCCCCGCGGGCGCCCGCCGGAGGAUACCCAAACUCUUGACAUUAGUGGCCUCUCUGAGUAUUCUUUACUGAAUAAGUCA